GUAGGCAUAGUUUAAUAAAAAUGCUAGAUUGUGAUUCUAGAGACAGAUGUUAAAACCCUCUUGCCCACC
This 69-nucleotide transfer RNA is filed under the name Wuhanlinigobius polylepis. Its description in RNAcentral is "tRNA-His". It matches the Rfam family "tRNA". Rfam says of the family: Transfer RNA (tRNA) molecules are approximately 80 nucleotides in length. Their secondary structure includes four short double-helical elements and three loops (D, anti-codon, and T loops). Further hydrogen bonds mediate the characteristic L-shaped molecular structure. tRNAs have two regions of fundamental functional importance: the anti-codon, which is responsible for specific mRNA codon recognition, and the 3' end, to which the tRNAs corresponding amino acid is attached (by aminoacyl-tRNA synthetases). tRNAs cope with the degeneracy of the genetic code in two manners: having more than one tRNA (with a specific anti-codon) for a particular amino acid; and 'wobble' base-pairing, i.e. permitting non-standard base-pairing at the 3rd anti-codon position. The record is from RNAcentral. Lineage: Eukaryota; Metazoa; Chordata; Actinopteri; Gobiiformes; Gobiidae.